AAAAAGUGACUCAGCUCAGCGACAACCGAGUUGGAUCCCCCUCUAGAAUGCACAUGGGACCCUUGUUCUCGCGGCAGUACACGACACGACUCGGCGGAGUCUCACUGGAAGCGGUCGGUCAGCGAGUGCGCAAAAUGGGCAUCAUCCAAGUCCUCCUCACGCCGGGCGCAUCUCAAUGCGCAGCAGAGUUUGGUCAAGGGGGCUGCCGGGGAGACGUCCGCUGUCCAAGGUGUGGUUAACCUCCUCAUUGUCUGUCGUUGAGUCUGUCGCGGGCGCAUUUACAUGCUUCCCAUCAUCCGUCCAAGAAGGGGAGCGAGAGACGCGGCACAGUUCGUGUUGCGAGCCAAGCGGAGCGCACGAAGCGGCUCUUGUUCCGAGGACACCCCCGACCCUCUACUCUUCUUUUUUCUCUUUUUAAAUAAAGCACGAAAUGACAUCCAAGACAAAGAAGAAAGAGCGCUGCCUUCCAAAAUAAGUACAAGACACCGUGGCGCAAGUGGUUGCCCGCUGGAUGUUUGCUCUUCCUCUGCGCGCGCUGAACUGACGCGCUGAUGAAAACUUUGGCGGAGCAAAGUUUCUUCGGUGCGCGCCGGCUGCAGGGCUGGCCCCGGUUUGAGCGCUGUGACCCUAUCGUAAUUGGACACACAUUAUUUGGAUCAGAACAAUCUGCAGAUAUUUGGAAUCGAGCAGAUGACCAGUUAUCUGGGAGAAUAAAUGGUAUCGCUGCGGAGAGCCAAUGAUAAGGAGUUAAACUUGACGGUUCCAAAGAACCAGAUGUGGAGAUAUGCCUGGAUGAGGAGGGGGUGUGUUCUGCCUCGUUCUGAGUGGGAUCGCACACACAGGAGAUCCCUUACUUUGAAUUUGAGAAGCUGAGAACUCAGAAGGAAAAGGUCCAAUAUCUUCAAAACAAGAUCUUUCCCACCAUCGUCAAGUUCAAACACUGAUCUGUCACCUCAGUACAAGCUCUUCAGUGAAUUUUUAA
This is a long non-coding RNA of Scophthalmus maximus (turbot), 982 nucleotides long. RefSeq lists it as uncharacterized. The record is from RefSeq and is a predicted model, not a curated record. Lineage: Eukaryota; Metazoa; Chordata; Actinopteri; Pleuronectiformes; Scophthalmidae. The transcript has 4 exons.